RNAcentral lists this ribosomal RNA (253 nucleotides) under uncultured bacterium. RNAcentral describes it as "partial 16S ribosomal RNA". It matches the Rfam family "Bacterial small subunit ribosomal RNA", at positions 524 to 776 of the family's 1533-position model. The record is from RNAcentral.
UACGGGGGGGGCAAGCGUUGUUCGGAAUUACUGGGCGUAAAGGGCUCGUAGGUGGCCAACUAAGUCAGACGUGAAAUCCCUCGGCUUAACCGGGGAACUGCGUCUGAUACUGGAUGGCUGGAGUAUGGGAGAGGGAUGCGGAAUUCCAGGUGUAGCGGUGAAAUGCGUAGAUAUCUGGAGGAACACCGGUGGCGAAGGCGGCAUCCUGGACCAUUACUGACACUGAGGAGCGAGAGCCAGGGGAGCAAACGGG